GGAGCGGUAGUUCAGUUGGUUAGAAUACUGGGUUGUCAUUCAGGGGGUCGCGGAUUCGAGUCCCGUCCGCUCCGCCA
Molecule: transfer RNA, 77 nt
Filed under: Vibrio parahaemolyticus
Lineage: Bacteria; Pseudomonadati; Pseudomonadota; Gammaproteobacteria; Vibrionales; Vibrionaceae
Description: tRNA-Asp
Rfam family: tRNA
About the family: Transfer RNA (tRNA) molecules are approximately 80 nucleotides in length. Their secondary structure includes four short double-helical elements and three loops (D, anti-codon, and T loops). Further hydrogen bonds mediate the characteristic L-shaped molecular structure. tRNAs have two regions of fundamental functional importance: the anti-codon, which is responsible for specific mRNA codon recognition, and the 3' end, to which the tRNAs corresponding amino acid is attached (by aminoacyl-tRNA synthetases). tRNAs cope with the degeneracy of the genetic code in two manners: having more than one tRNA (with a specific anti-codon) for a particular amino acid; and 'wobble' base-pairing, i.e. permitting non-standard base-pairing at the 3rd anti-codon position.
Source: RNAcentral